UCUUCUUAACUAUGUAAUCCCAGAGGUGCUACCGCUAUUGCUGAUGGGCUUGGUCUUGGACAGCAGCAGGUCCGUCUUGGAGCUGGCUGGCAUUGGCUUUAUGGGCCACGGGGGAAGCUAUUAGUAGCGUCUCUUAGGAGUGACUCUCCCGCUACCAAAACCUGGCUACACAAACCCAAUACAGUUGGGUCAGAACAUACCACCCCUCUCAGAAAGUAGAGGGCAAAAGGCAUGACCUGGGAGUGGACUAAAGAUUUGUGUGAACUACAGAAAUACACAAUAAGGGUGACUGAAACUGUUGCAGCAUUUUGGGAUUGUUCUAAUUUUUUUGGUAAGUAACAUCCUGGAGUAGUUUCUGGUUUUCUUGUGUUUCAACCCUGUGUCUCUCAAGAAACACAGGUGACUUCCAUUUUGAAUUCAGCCAUGGUUAGUAGCAGUUUCUCUCUUUAUUUUCUACUUUUUUUUUUUUAAAUUUUUAAACUGAGUAAGGCAGUUAAGUAAGGCGAGAUGUCUUGAACAAGAUAUAUCAUCUAAUUUUUUAGUGCCCGGUGAUAGGAAAACAAAGAAAUUGUGUCAGAAAUGUCAGUAUAUGUAAAGACACAAGGGCUUGGCAAUCUGAUGUUCUCUUGUUUUCUUGCUCUUGUGGUUUAAACCCAGGACACUUGCUAUGCUAGGAAAUAAAUUUUGACUUGUCACACCUUUCACAGAUGGCUUAACACCCUGUAAUGUUCAGUCUUUGAAAAGCCUGGUAAAUAAUUCUUUUAUAAAGCAUGCAGGGGUUUAAACAAGAUUUUUGGAAUAAUUCGUGCCACGUUAAUAGGGUGUUUUGGUUUGCUUUUUAUAUAUCUAAGAGAGAAGCAAAGAUUGAGAGAAAAAAUAUUUAAGAAAAGGCAAUAUUAGAGUGAACAGAACUUAAGAAGUUGGUACAGACAUUGGAGUGUAAGUGACCAGUUAUGGGCCAACUGGUGUGGAAGCAGAAACUCUGGUCCUGCAUUAGCUGGUUUUGGUAGCCUCUGAGGCCAUGUCAGGUGAGAGUGAUCUUCAGAAAUGAGAUCAUUCUUGCUAGUGCUGUGCUGCAGCACUGCGUGAAGGCUGUUUGACAAGGGAGCAAAUCUGUAGGACACAAUUUCUUUUUGUUGUGACAGAAGUUGGCCUGUUCACAGUCUGGCGUAGCAUCAUAAAUGCUCAGUCUGUUUGUUAGUAAAUUGUUUUCCAUGUAUCACUGAUGAGGUCCUUUUUCUGUUUGCUACCUAUUAGGAUAAUACUAUGAAUGGUGUGAUUUCACACACCAAAUUUAGAGUGAUUUCCGUUUAUCUUCUAGAGGGGAGAAAGGAUGGAGUGGAGGGUUUUGCAACCAUGACACUACUGAGAGAAAUGUGUUGAAAAGUUGGAACAUCUGUUUGUCAUGCUGUCUGCUGAUGAAGUUGUUCUGGCCAUGUAAAACAGGUAACAGCUUUAGGGUUCUGCUUCAUUUGUGGAUUCCCUUCACUCUCACAAACUGUUUCAACACUGAAGACCUCUUUGAAAUUUAAAGGCUGAAGAACUGGAAAUUUCAGUGGAAAUGAACAUCUGAUGGAAGUGAGACUCAGCCCAGAAUCCUAAUUGGCAUGAGAACAUCUUUUGAGUAGUAGUAACUCAUUCACAAAGGUAGGUUCAGUCUUUAAAUUUUAGUGAUUCUUGUCUUAGCUAUGCCUGUGAGAUUAGGUUAAAUUCCAGAAGCCUGAUCCAAAUCUUAUUAAAUUCAGUGGAGGGACUGUAGAUCCAAAAUGGCCUGAUUUGGUUUAAACUUUUUCCAUAAUGAGAAAAGCUGUAUAGUAUGUAUUGUUCCAGAGAGGAGGUUUCCUUAUUUAUUACUCAGCAAGAGAACUUGGAUUUGUAGUUGUGGAUAGCUGACAGUAAAGAGAAUUCUAACAGGAUUGUGGAUUUUGUAAUUGUAACAUACCUGUGCCUCCAUGUAAAUGUCUCCUUUAAAAAUUUCACACUGCUGUUCUCAAUUCUGUCCUGCACCUUUACAGUAUCACAUAGUAAUAGCAUCAACCACGUCAUUCUUAUUGUUGGUAAAACUUCAAAAGAGAGCCCAGAGUUCUGGUGAUGGUAAGUCUGAAAAUUAUGGGUGUGGGGAAUGUGAGUGUUGGUUUAUCACACAAGCUUACUAAAGCAAAUGAAUAACCUUGCUUCUCUGUGAUUCCCCCCUUUUUACCUCCUUCUCCAGAUAACGAUGCUCAAACUUCACAUAAACAGCUGGCAUACUGUGGAGGGCCUGAUAAGCGGAUUUCUUCAUCCAUGCUAAGUCUCUGUUAUAUCAUGUAGCCGUCCCAUUAUCUUGUGUGAAAUGCUUAUUGCAGUUUCUUCCAUUGGGUCUCCUAUAUACAUUAUCUAUAAUGCAUAAUGGAGUGUGUGUAUGAAUGAAGGACAAUAUCCCACAAAGCAUGAAAAUUACUUGUAAGUUGCAAGCAUUGGGUCUUAAUGGUAUGAUCUCAUUAGGUUAGGAAAAAAAUUCCCUAGUAUCACCCUUUAUAUUCUAGAGCUUGAUUUAUUUUUCUCUUUUUUUUUUUUUAAUCUUCCACAAGUUUAAUCAAACUAUAUUAAAAAAGAAACAGAUAAUGAUGUUGAAGCAAGUGAUAGGGUCUAAACCAUGAGUUCUUUUUGUAAAUUUGCUCAUUUAAAGGAACAUUAUCAACUUCCAGCAUGUUUUUUUGUGGGAAGCGUCAAAUUAGGAACUCUGAAGUAAUAUAAUGCUACUAGUAGUAAUAGUCCCACUUUUCCUCUUCAAGUGUUGUCUUCUGAACUUUGAAAUAUGGAGUAUGUUUCAUUUUUGAGUGCUUCAGUAUACUAUGUAGAUAUUUUGAAGUUCUGAGGUUAUUUAACAGCAUUAUUUCUGGGAGGGAAGAGGGAUUAACCUCAGGUCUUGGUGGAUGCUGGUGUUCAGUUGCAUUUGUGUAGUCUGCAAAGCUCUUAUUUUCAAUCAAACUGUAAUCAGCAGAUAGGUAUUAGAGAAGCUGUCUUGAAUUAUCUAGGCAACACGCUGUCACUGGAGGAUUGUUAUGUGUUGUACACUAUUUGAGACAUUUAUUUCAGUUAUCUAAACAUUUUUUGGCGUACACUUGUCUUUAAGGGUUUUGAAUACUGGAACUUUGUUCUUUUCUUCUGGAGAGCCAAGGUUUCUGUUUCUUUACAGUUUCUUUUCUGUUACAGUUGUCUGCAUUACCAUGUUAUAUUUGUUUUUUUUCCCCUUAACUGUCAUUCAUGCUUGCAUUUACUACUGUAAAUAAUUCCUUUCCAUCAUUGGUGCCUAUGUUUUCCUAUAUUUUUAAUUGGUUUUGUUUUGUUUUUUAGGGUCUGUCUUUAUUCAUUGUUAGGCAAGCUCUGAAUAUCUGGUCUUUGUUUAAUUUUAAAUAUCCAUGGAAUAGUCCUUCCAAGCAGAUAUUUUCCAUAACUGAUAUCCUUCAAGUUGUGCCAGUAUCUCUUUUGGGAAUGGAGUGUCUGGAACCAGAUGAAAGACUCCAGACAGAGUCGAACACAGGCUCAACUGGACUGUGUUGCCACUGUCUUUGUGGGACUUGCAGCCCUAGGACCUGGCUACGAUUAAAACCCACCAUGAUGUGACUCCAGCUGAGCUAUUGGAACAAGAAGAACCAGAAAAGACUGCUCCUGUUUUUAUUCCAAAGCAGAAUCCUUUGGUCAGACUGAUCUGCCAUUAACAGCACCUUUUAAAAAAGAAAGGGAAAACUCCCUCAAAAGUAACUGGGGCUUUUUGGUGUUGCCUCCAACAAGAAGCAAAAUCUUUUAUGUGUUGGAGACUGGGGAGAAACAGGUUCCCUUCUAGUCACAGGUCUUUUCUGGGUCUCCUCUGUUAUGCAGACAUCAACUUUACAUUGAUGUUCAUUCCAGCCAUUUCUUAAAAGCUCAGUUUUCAUUGCUUUUGAGCCUGGUGCUAGAAAUGUAUAAGAAGGAAAUAAGAGGUUUUUAUCCAUAUACCUCUUUCCCUAUUUCUCUCUCUUUUUGUGUAGAUAAAGCAUAAAUAUAUGUGUACAUAUUUGUAUAUUUAAGUGUGCACACUUACACAGAAUCCCGGUAUAUAGCUAAACACAUUAACCUAAUGUAAAAAGCUGAAAGAAAGCUUAAGAUUUGGGAACUACUUGUUUAGUUGUUAGUGGGGAAAGAUAAUUUGGAGCUCUUGAAAAGGAAGGGCUACUGUACUUGCACUAAACUGAACUGCAAACAAUGGGAAUAGGUAAAUGCAACAGCUUGGUUUUACUACUUUGCAAAAGUCUUUUUCUGUUCUGUUCCUGAGUGGUUUUAAUGACAGACUCUUUUGAGGCAUGUGAAUUAUGAACAGUAUCCAAAAUUUGAGCACAAAUCAGGAGUCAUUUGCUGUGUUUACAGACCCUCAACUUAUUUUAUAAAUAACAUGAUGGUUAUGAUUUUACCAUAAUAAAAAGGUGCUGGUUUGUCCACAUGAAAUUAUUAGUGAGCAGCACAUUUAAGAAGAUUAGAUCUGUGUAGAGUAGAGAGGUGUUUCAAAGCUGCUGUGUAAUUAGAGCUUCUGUUCAUCAGUUUGGGGUACCUUUGUUCUUAAUUGGAUGUAGGAAUGACACUUUUGAGGUGGUAAUAAGUGGGGAAGGACUGCUUGGUCCUUUCCGACCCAUUGAGAGUGUUAUAGUAAAUAUGGCAAAAAAUACGACUUCUGUUGAGAAAAGUAGAGAAUAAGUAAUUGUGCUCAGAAGCAAGCAUCUGCAGAGUAGACUCUCAGAAAGUAGUGGAUUUUGAGAGGAAACUAAAUAUCUUUUGCUUUUCCUAUUGGGGAGGUGAGAAUUGUGAAAUGGGGCUAAAAGCUGCUGCUAGCUUG
Long non-coding RNA from Pezoporus occidentalis (night parrot), 4849 nucleotides. RefSeq lists it as uncharacterized. Lineage: Eukaryota; Metazoa; Chordata; Aves; Psittaciformes; Psittacidae. The transcript is spliced from 3 exons. The record is from RefSeq and is a predicted model, not a curated record.